RNAcentral lists this ribosomal RNA (288 nucleotides) under uncultured bacterium. Its description in RNAcentral is "16S ribosomal RNA". It matches the Rfam family "Bacterial small subunit ribosomal RNA", at positions 64 to 363 of the family's 1533-position model. The record is from RNAcentral.
GAGCGAGAAGGCCUCCUUCGGGAGGCCGGACAGCGGCAAACGGGGUAGUAAGGCAUCGGUAACGUACCCCCAGGACCGGGAUAGCUGCGGGAAACUGCAGGUAAUACCGGAUAAUAUCUCCGGAUCAAAUGGUGAGAUUCCGCCUGGGGACCGGCUGAUGUGAUACCAGCUAGUUGGUGAGGUAAUGGCUCACCAAGGCUUAGACGUCUAGGGGGUGUGAGAGCAUGGCCCCCACCACUGGGACUGAGACACUGCCCAGACACCUACGGGUGGCUGCAGUCGAGAAUC